CAGCAACCAUCCUAGAAGUGCUAGUUUCCUAGGAUAGCCCAAACAGUCUAGAUGCCUAAAAUGCACCUCAGGUCACUCAGCAGGUUUCUAAUUUCAGCUGCAGAGACAGCGUCCAGGAAAUGAGGCAGACACAUAUAAAGGCCCUUCAGAAACAGAGAAGAUUCCAAAUGAAUAACCACUUGCCUUGAAGGGAUUUCAAAUAAGAGGCUCAAAGAUGGAGAGAGACGAUUAGAAGAAAAUGAUAGACCAAAAAACCCACAGAAGCAGACACAGCCUGAAGCUGAAACGCAGAGAUCAGUGAUGCGAGAGGCAUCCUGCAUUUGAAACUGAACAGGAGCUGAAGAGAAAGGCUUAGGGACGAGCCCAAGGAUAUCUGAUAUGCAACCCCUGUGAAAGGGUUGCUCCACCGCUCCAAAGGGGUCCUGACCCGCAGGCUGAGAAUCACCACUAUAGAACAAAGUUGUCAAUACACCCGACAAGGUGAUUCCUUCCCAGUGAAACCUAGUAAGUGAUCACCAAAUAUCAGCCAGUGGUUGCAAUGGACAGAACAGCCGAGCCUCACAGGGUUCCCUGGCAUGACCUUGCAACCUCAAGGAGCUAAUAGAGGUAGUUAUGGGUCUGGUGGCCACAGGGGACCCUCCACAGUGGAUCAUGAGCCUUGUAAAGUGAAGAGAAAACCAGAGACACCUUGAUUUUGGGAAGAAUCACCAACCAGGAAAUCAAAGCUCAGUCUAAAACUAAGAAGCUACUACGACUGUUCUGUGCCCAAGAGUAUAGCGAUGUAAUGACGGGGCCACGGCCAACUUCUUAUAGCCUGGACCACAGCCAGGGUUCACAAGAGACUACUCAGGAGCAAGACGGUAACUCCUCCCAGAGUGCUACCCACAGUAACAUCCCCUCCACAGUAUGAUUGUCCUUGAACCUUCCAUCAAGCAGGUCACUGUGUGUGUUUAUGUGGGGCUGUGCUUUACUGACACCAAAUGAUACGUGGUGGCACUAGACCGCUUUAAGCAACUGAUUGUUUUAUGCAUGUGCUGUUCGAAUAACUUGAGAUUCAGUGUGUCGAGCUGUAGUUGUUGAUUUAAAGCAACAGCACCAAACCUAGGCAUCGUGUUGUCUACUUUCUAGUUAAAUCAUAAUAUUGAUAUUAGGUGUCCCAAAAAUCCUAUCAGAAUCUACAGUGGAGUAUCCUAGUACUCAGCCUUUUCUCGUGACGGAAACGGUCCAAAGGCAAGUCUUCCAUGCCUUACAGGCCUCAAUGCAGAUUUUGGGACAGCUGAUCCACGUGGUUCCUAUCGGCAGCACAGUUGCAUGGAGCUGGACCAGCAGGGGAAGGUUUGUGAGCAGACGCAGUAAUUCAAUGGAGGAAAGAGAAAGACAGUCUUAAAUGACUGGAGACAAGUCAGGUACUGCACUGAGCCAACUUUCUGUGUGAUCCAGGCCACUCCAUGCUCUGGGACCAAAAGAAACUCAGAACCAGCAAAUGUUCACUGCGUGGUGGGUGAGCCAAGAGCAUUCACCUGAGAGCAGACAGAUGACGGCACCUCAGACCCAUGCAGCCUGGUUCCUGGAACUCCAGGAAGUGUCCCGCAAGUCAGGCGAUCUGUUCCCCAGGUGCUUUCCUCUAGUACCCAGGUCACUGUCAAAAUGUUAAACGUGUACACUCCUCUGGAUGAUGAGAAGAACAGUGUCUUUCGUGUGAAUGAUCUCGGAAUAACUGCAAAGUGAACAUCCUUGGUGACUGCUCUUAAACGCCAAGCACAUGCAGCCCGUCUUGUUUUCCCUGCAGUUUAUCCGCCAUGGUACCAACCCACAUCUACUGUGCCUCAGUCUGAAACCUCAAUCUGAGAUUGUAGGUUUCCAAUCUCAGAGAUAUCUGGGUCCUCGUCUCUUGUACCUGCUGCUCAAAAACUGACAUUGCAAAAAGAGAUAAAAACAAAAAUACCUAGAACAGGAAAUGCCCAGCAAGCAUCGGAGGGGAAUGGGCUUGGGGAUGUCGAGCUACACAGCAUGGAGGCUUCUCACAUAGGAUGCCAUCAGAGGUUCCAAAAUAGUCUAGUGACAUGUGAUCACUGUUUCAGGCCACUGGAGGCAGCACAGUGACACACAGAGGCACGGGACGGAGAGGAAAGAAGCUUGACAAAGUGUCAAGUAUGAGGCUUCUUCUACUGCCACAGACCUGCCUCAGAGGCAAGACCUUGCUGCCUUGCCUCAAAGUACGAUCUAGCAACUCAUAGGUCUCAUCUCCAACAGUUUAAUAACAUGGGGUCUUACCAAAGGAGGAGAAAUGUAGGCCUGCAAGAGGCAUUUUGCAAGAAGUAGAGAUACCUGACAUUGAAUUUUAUGCUGCUUUUAUAUGGGUCUGGGUGUCUGAGUCCUUUUGGUAACCGUCUGUGUAUAUAUAUAUACAGAAACAGUUUGAUUAAGAAAUUGAAUAUCUUGGGGUUGGGGAUUUAGCUCAGUGGUAGAGCGCUUGCCUAGCAAUCGCAAGGCCCUGGGUUCGGUCCCCAGCUCCGGAAAAAAGAAAAAAAAAAAAAAGAAGAAAUUGAAUAUCUUAGAAUUAUUUCCCCUGCAAAGUCACCUGGCCUCACCAAGGCUAGUAAGCAUUUAAUACUGGACAUAUAAAACCUAUCCCCCACCCCAAACCUCAUUACCAGUAUUUGGUAGUACCCCUCCCUACGCUGUGCCUCUCGUGGGCUCUCUAGACUAGUUGGGGAUACUCAAGGGAGGGCAGAGGCUCCAUGAUCCCGACAGAGACUCUCAUAAUCCUAGGCAAACUUCAGGGAUUUGCCUCCUGCCACACGGUAGGCACCUUCUAAGCUCACAGCCAAGUUACCCAGCCGAUAUUUCAGCGGAGACCUGGCUGCAAACUGGAGUGCUUGAAGGUGGUACAAGUACAGGUCAAUGACAGAGCCCGAGAGCAUCUUCUCUGUACCGCACAGAUACAUCUGUUUGGAUAUCCACUCUAGUAAUUCUUAACUGACUAGAUCGCUUUCGCUGUCAAGAUUAGAGCAAAGUAUUUUAUGUGACAUCUGCUUCUGCUAAAUCAGAAUCUCAUUUCCUCCUGAGCUGUCACACGGAGCAUGGGAUACACAAUGCUGGCUGUGCACACGGAAUUGAGAAAGUCACCUUCUCAGAUAAAGGAAUCCUAGCUUCCUUAAUCUAACAAGCCUCUACUCUUCCCACUCAAUAGACCUAUUGAAAACAUGAUGACCUCAACAGCUAACAUCAAAGACUGCGUGAAUUAUGUCUAAGGGCUUCAGGGUGUGAGCCGAGAGAGACCUUAGCCCUCUCUUGCUAAUGGUUAUUACCAAGCAUGGUCAUGGGUGCUAAGGAAGGCAGAGCUAUGAACAGUGUGCCUGUCUUCUCAUCCCUUUAGGACAAAGGAAACAGCAAAUAGAACCAGGGCUCAAGCUUCCUCAGUACUAGGCUCUAACUUGGCCCACUGCUUCCUGUUGCAGAGGACAUUUCUCUACAGACCGUGCUACCAACACUUCUUGAUACUGAUGUGGCUGGGAGAGAGCUAGAGUCGAUACCACACAUGAGGCUAUGCUGCAACUCCCACCUUGGUUUGAAUUUACUAAGUGACAACUAACUCUGAAAAAGUGGGAGAUCUAGAAAGUUACAAUCCAAACCCCAUCGAAAGAUGAACAAACUCUGGAGACUGAAUUAUGGCAUGGUGACUGGUUAACAAUAGUGCAGUCCAAAAACAGCUGGAAGGUCCAGGGGGAGGGUUUCCUACCACAUUAAGCCAGAUACUAGGACAGGAAGCAAAGAGACGGUGACACAUGGUGCAUAAAACCAACCUUAAGCUGACCCAGUGGAGGUUUGCACCUUAGGAGUAUGCACUUUUUCAGAACAAGGCAAGCACUUGAGCACCCCAUACCUUCCAGGAUGGACAGCAAUUGCAAGGGUAGAGGGCUGAGAGUGCAGCCUAGAUAACAAGCAUAGGGUCUGCACAUUACAUCCAAUAUGGGGACAGAGAUGUUUGCUAACAGUGAUGGCGAAGUGAGAAAAAUCAAGGCGCUGUGGUCACAGGUCACUGAAAUGUGGUGGUUUGAAUAAACAGGUCCCCAAGACUCAUAUAUGUGAAUGUUUUGUCAUUACAAAGUGUCACUAUUUGAUAAGGAUUAGGAGGUAUGGCCUUGUUGGAGGAAGUAGGUCUCUGGGAUUGGGAUGGGGACUUGAGAUUUCAAGAGUGAAAGCCAAGCCCAGUGGCUCACUUCCUGCUGUCUGAGGAUCUGAACAUAGAACUCUCAGCCACUUCUCCAGCACGGUGUCUGCCUGGGUGCUGCCAUUUUACUACCAUGACAAUGGACUAAACCUCUGGAACUUAAAUCUCUGAAACUAUCAACAAGCCUCUAAUUAAAUGUGUCUUUGACAAGAGUGGCCUUGGUCAUGGUGUCUCUUCAUGGCAAUAGAACACUAAGGAACCAAGCUGUCAAUAUACCAAGUCUCUGCAGGGCCCCAGAAGGCAACUUGAUCCUUCAAAUGCACAGACGUGGAAACUUCAGGUAGCAUCUCCUCUUACUAGCCUGGCCCCAGGCCAGAAGCAGGUAGACAAGAGGAAUCCCAGCCCUGCUGAAAGGCACAGUGAACUCUGGAAAUCAGAGAUAGGAGUCAAGCAGCAACAUCUGGGGGUGGUUCAGGCUCCAGGGCAAGGACUAGAGUAGAGCUCUGAGAACCACAAUAACUCACCACACUCCAACACUCAAGGGGGUGCGUAGGAACAUCAGGCAACAGAAAGUAAAAUUUGAUUCCUGGGCCUUAAAAUACUGCUCACUUAGAGAGAAGAGGGUGCAAAAAGGCGGGCGGGAGGGAGGAAGAUGGAAAGGGAGAGGGAAGGAGAGGAAGGGAAGGGGAGAGAGAGGUGAGGAGGGAACAUAAUAUAACUGAUAUGACACAUGACCUUGAAUCCUCUUCACUCAAUUCAAAAAACACAGGGAAAGCAUGCACCAUAGGACAGGCAGCCUCUGAGAGCUUCAUUCUGUGUGAUUUUAAAUGAUGACAUUUUAAAAAUGGUCCUUAUAAAGACUACAAAUCCCAUGGCCCACCUCCUCAAUGUACAAAUGUUGUGUGUGAAAUGAGACGGAGGGGUUGACUCCCACCCAGCAGCACGGCUGUUUAUUUCUGCAUCCUGGAGACCCAGCGCUCCUUCCCGGCUUACAAACCAUGUGGAGCAACAUGGACUUGCAGCAAGGCAAAGAAAUGCAUCCUGGUCCGUCACCGUUUAGUUCUGCACACUUUUAGGACACAGAAUGCAUGUUGUGCACAUACAUGUUCAGCAUUAUUACUAGGGAACAUCGAUGUGACCAGGAAGCAAAGGAUGCACCUAGGGAUCCUCCUAGCAAGUGCCUGACCUUCUGUGGACAAGCUGUUACCCAUCCAUCCUUUCUGAAUAAUUUCCUUAACUUGUCUUAAUAAUCAGACCACAAACAUGGGACUCUCUUGACCACAGAGUCCAUAUUUGCCUGGAGUUGAGCUCCAUGGGAAUGUGGUUUUUUCCCCUGUGGUUUGCCUGUUCACACUGAGGUUUAUUUAUACUUUACUGCUGAUAGAGUUCAUUCUUUUAGCUCCUGUGCACUUGGCUUUUAUAUGAAUGUGACUGUAACAUACUCGUUAAUUCGUAUUUCUCAUUUUUGUGUGCAUAAUUCUCACAGUUUUGUGUGUGCAUGUGCGUGUACAAGUUCAGUUGUGUGCACCAAGGUGUCUUCCUUAACUCUUACCCUUUAGCUUAUUUUUUUCAGACAAGAUAUCACUGAACCUGAAAGUCACAGAUUCAGCUAGAUUUGCUGGCUAGCAAGCUCCAGCAAUCCUCCUGCCUCUGGUUCCCGAGAGCUGGGACUACAGGUGUUCACCAGCAUUCGUGGCUCAUUCUGUGGAUGCUGGGGACUUAGGUCCUCAUGGUAAUUCAUGAGCCAUCUCUUGGCCCCUCUAACUCUCAAGGCCUAAUGUGGUUUUGUAUCCUGAAAAUGUUCACUCCAGUCAGUUAUGCUUCAUGGAUGGAGAAUCUAAGUGCAGGUACCAUUAAGGAAGGAAGCUAUGAUAUCCAGUCUUGGUUUUCAUCUUCCUACAUCUGGAAUUGACUAAAACCUAAGCAGCUGCACACAGAUGUUUAGGAUUUUCUUGACUGGAUCAUUUGAAGUGAGAAAAGUCACCCUCGAUCUGGGUACAUCUUUCUGGUGGCAGACCAUGUAUAAGGACGCGGAAGGAGGCAGCCUUUUUGUGUUAGCUGCUUGCCCUCAUUCUUGCUGACAAGCCCAUCCUUUCUGCUGCUGGCCCAUUACUUCACCGGGAUUAGCAAUGACAUCUUUGGAAGUCCACCACAGACUGAAUCACUCUGAGACAUUCAUCUGCCUGGACUGAAGAAUUACAAGGUUCUUGGCCUUUCCACUGGGAGACAGUCAUCGUCAGACUCACUACCCCACAGCCUUGUUCAGCCUCCGACUUAAUCGUGACCAAAUCAAAGCUGGACAGAGAGGCUAGCACUGACCGAGUUUCGCCACCAUUACUUAUGUAAGUAGCAUGUUCUUGCAAGAAAAAAAAUUAAAGUGUGAAGAUAAUUCUA
Long non-coding RNA from Rattus norvegicus (Norway rat), 6568 nucleotides. RefSeq lists it as uncharacterized. The record is from RefSeq and is a predicted model, not a curated record. Lineage: Eukaryota; Metazoa; Chordata; Mammalia; Rodentia; Muridae.